RNAcentral lists this unclassified non-coding RNA (509 nucleotides) under Hevea brasiliensis (rubber tree). The record is from RNAcentral. Lineage: Eukaryota; Viridiplantae; Streptophyta; Magnoliopsida; Malpighiales; Euphorbiaceae.
AGGGGGAAAAAAAAAAAAAAAACCCUUGUUUUUGUCAAUUCCGAAAUCUAGCACCUCGCAUUCUGUAAUAGGUCAAGAGAACAACUGUAAGAUUUAAUUUUGAUCUGUCAUCCGCAAUCCUCAAGCAAUUAUGCUUUCUGUAACCCACCUGGACAAUAACUGACCUCCAUUUUCAAAACUAUCGAAUUCAGGGGAUAUAAUCCCAUAUCAAAUUUAAACAGCAUUGUAACAGAGCAUUUCAUUUCGCUGGACAAUCACAUAAACCAAAGUCGUUCGAGAACACUAGGCCUUUUCCUAUCAUUUCGAGAUCAUACAAAAAAUUUGAUCAUCGCUUGAAGAAUUGGACCAAUCGGUAAAGCGCAAAUUUAUUAAAUGAACUUAGGGAGCUCCAAUUCAAUGUUAACCAGAAUAUAACUGCAAAAUUUCCAUAAACAAGAAGCAAACCCCACGAAAGCAUUCAAAAAAAAAGUUGCAGAGAUAAGCACCUUCUCAUCCUGAUGAAGAGCAAU